GGGCCCGCACAAGCAGUGGAGUAUGUGGUUUAAUUCGAAGCAACGCGAAGAACCUUACCAGGUCUUGACAUCGAGUGACGAACUAAGAGAUUAGUUCUUCCUUCGGGACACAAAGACAGGUGGUGCAUGGUUGUCGUCAGCUCGUGUCGUGAGAUGUUGGGUUAAGUCCCGCAACGAGCGCAACCCUUACCAUUAGUUGCUACGCAAGAGCACUCUAAUGGGACUGCCGUUGACAAAACGGAGGAAGGUGGGGAUGACGUCAAAUCAUCAUGCCCCUUAGGACCUGGGCUACACACGUACUACAAUGGCAAUCAAACAGAGGGAAGCAAAGCAGUGAUGUUAAGCAAAUCCCAAAAAAUUGUCUCAGUUCGGAUUGUAGGCUGCAACUCGCCUACAUGAAGUCGGAAUUGCUAGUAAUCGCGAAUCAGCAUGUCGCGGUGAAUACGUUCCCGGGCCUU
Molecule: ribosomal RNA, 458 nt
Filed under: uncultured bacterium
Lineage: Bacteria
Description: bacterial SSU rRNA
Rfam family: Bacterial small subunit ribosomal RNA
Source: RNAcentral